UUGGUUAAGUUAGAAAGGGCGCACGGUGGAUGCCUUGGCACUAGGAGCCGAAGAAGGACGGGACUAACACCGAUAUGCUUUGGGGAGCUGUACGUAAGCGUUGAUCCAGAGAUUUCCGAAUGGGGGAACCCACUAUCUUUAGUCGGAUAGUAUCCUUACGUGAAUACAUAGCGUGAGGAAGGCAGACCCAGGGAACUGAAACAUCUAAGUACCUGGAGGAAGAGAAAGAAAAAUCGAUUUCCUGAGUAGCGGCGAGCGAAACGGAAAGAGCCCAAACCAAGAAGCUUGCUUCUUGGGGUUGUAGGACACUCUAUACGGAGUUACAAAAGAAAGUUAUAAAUGAAGCGGUCUGGAAAGGCCCGCCAAAGACGGUAACAGCCCGGUAGUUGAAAUGGCUUUCCCUCCAGAGUGGAUCCUGAGUACGGCGGAACACGUGAAAUUCCGUCGGAAUCCGGGAGGACCAUCUCCCAAGGCUAAAUACUCCCUAGUGACCGAUAGUGAACCAGUACCGUGAGGGAAAGGUGAAAAGCACCCCGGAAGGGGAGUGAAACAGUUCCUGAAACCGUGUGCCUACAAGUAGUUAGAGCCCGUUAAUGGGUGAUAGCGUGCCUUUUGUAGAAUGAACCGGCGAGUUACGAUUUGUUGCAAGGUUAAGCGGAAAAAGCGGAGCCGUAGCGAAAGCGAGUCUGAAUAGGGCGCAUAAGUAACAGGUCGUAGACCCGAAACCAGGUGAUCUACCCAUGUCCAGGAUGAAGGUAAGGUAAUACUUACUGGAGGUCCGAACCCACGCACGUUGAAAAGUGCGGGGAUGAGGUGUGGGUAGCGGAGAAAUUCCAAUCGAACUUGGAGAUAGCUGGUUCUCUCCGAAAUAGCUUUAGGGCUAGCCUCGAGGUAAAGAGUCAUGGAGGUAGAGCACUGUUUGGACUAGGGGCCCUUCUCGGGUUACCGAAUUCAGAUAAACUCCGAAUGCCAUGUACUUAUACUCGGGAGUCAGACUGCGAGUGAUAAGAUCCGUAGUCGAAAGGGAAACAGCCCAGACCACCAGUUAAGGUCCCCAAAUAUAUGUUAAGUGGAAAAGGAUGUGGGGUUGCUUAGACAACCAGGAUGUUGGCUUAGAAGCAGCCACCAUUGAAAGAGUGCGUAAUAGCUCACUGGUCGAGUGACCCCGCGCCGAAAAUGUACCGGGGCUAAACAUAUUACCGAAACUGUGGAUGAACCUCUUUAGAGGUUCGUGGUAGGAGAGCGUUCUAAGGGCGGUGAAGUCAGACCGGAAGGACUGGUGGAGCGCUUAGAAGUGAGAAUGCCGGUAUGAGUAGCGAAAGAAGGGUGAGAAUCCCUUCCACCGAAUAUCUAAGGUUUCCUGAGGAAGGCUCGUCCGCUCAGGGUUAGUCGGGACCUAAGCCGAGGCCGAUAGGCGUAGGCGAUGGACAACAGGUAGAGAUUCCUGUACCAGUGCUAAUUGUUUAACCGAUGGGGUGACACAGAAGGAUAGGGAAUCGCACGAAUGGAAAUGUGCGUCCAAGCAGUGAGUGUGAGAAGUAGGCAAAUCCGCUUCUCGCGAAGCAUGAGCUGUGAUGGGGAAGGAAAUUAAGUACGGAAGUUCCUGAUUUCACGCUGUCAAGAAAAGCCUCUAGGAAGAGUAGUACUGCCCGUACCGCAAACCGACACAGGUAGAUGAGGAGAGAAUCCUAAGGUGAGCGAGAGAACUCUCGUUAAGGAACUCGGCAAAAUGACCCCGUAACUUCGGGAGAAGGGGUGCUCUAUUAGGGUGCAAGCCCGAGAGAGCCGCAGUGAAUAGGCCCAGGCGACUGUUUAGCAAAAACACAGGUCUCUGCAAAACCGUA
RNAcentral lists this ribosomal RNA (1844 nucleotides) under Listeria monocytogenes. RNAcentral's name for it is "partial 23S ribosomal RNA". It matches the Rfam family "Bacterial large subunit ribosomal RNA", at positions 1 to 1835 of the family's 2925-position model. Lineage: Bacteria; Bacillati; Bacillota; Bacilli; Caryophanales; Listeriaceae. The record is from RNAcentral.